Molecule: ribosomal RNA, 496 nt
Filed under: uncultured bacterium
Lineage: Bacteria
Description: bacterial SSU rRNA
Rfam family: Bacterial small subunit ribosomal RNA
Source: RNAcentral
GAAACCGAGGGUAAUACCGCAUGAGUCCUCAAUGACAUAAGUCGAUGAGGGGAAAGGCGGGGCUCCUUCGGGACCUGUCGCCUCUGGAUGAGCCCGCGUCCGAUUAGCUAGUUGGUGGGGUAAUGGCCUACCAAGGCAACGAUCGGUAGCCGGCCUGAGAGGGUGAACGGCCACAUUGGGACUGAGACACGGCCCAGACUCCUACGGGAGGCAGCAGUGGGGAAUUUUGGGCAAUGGGGGAAACCCUGACCCAGCGACGCCGCGUGGAGGAUGACGGCCUUCGGGUUGUAAACUCCUGUCAGGUGGGAAGAAAAGCCAGUCGGUUAAUACCCGGCAGGAAUUGACGGUACCACCAAAGGAAGCCCCGGCUAACUCCGUGCCAGCAGCCGCGGUAAUACGGAGGGGGCAAGCGUUAUUCGGAUUUACUGGGCGUAAAGCGCACGUAGGUGGCAUGGUAAGUCAAAGGUGAAAGCCCUCGGCUCAACCGAAGAAUUGC